CAUGUAUACAUCCUUCUAUUUUUUUUCUUUCAUUUUUUUUUCUAUUUUCUUUUUCUAUUUUUAUUUUAUUUUUCUACCAACUUCUGAAAUAUUACAAACAUAAUCAUUCAACCCCACACAACUCCAAAUAAGACUCUUUCAAUCCUUUGAAUAGGACGAUAACAUUGUUUUUCACUUCUCGGUUUGUAAUGAGUUUUAAACAAAAAAAGAUAAUAGGCUCAAUGGGUUUUCAAACAAGGGAUGAUAUUAUUUCAGGGUUGACUUUUUGGCUAACUGGCUAAAAAAACAAAAAUCAAAACUGCAUUUAUCAUAUCAGUAUGCACAAGUAAACAACAACAUCAACAAGAGUCAAUUCAAGUUCUAGAGACUAACAAACACGAGUGAAUCACACAAGAAAGAAAGAGAUGGAUUUUUGUAUGUUAUCCAUAUAAGGCUCAAAGCUCACAAGGUUAAUUGAUCUACCACAAAUGAUGUACAAUUCAGAGUUUAGUCCUACCUAUCAUACAUGGAUUUUUGUAUGUUAUCCAUAUAAGGCUCAAAGCUCACAAGGUUAAUUGAUCUACCACAAAUGAUGUACAAUUCAGAGUUUAGUCCUACCUAUCAUACUAAAAAUGCACAUCAAAUUUUUCACAUCACACCACAAGACUUUAGUCAAGAGAACUAAGAAAAAUAUUCAUAAUUGUAACUCAAAAACCAAAGGAAAAAGCAUGCAAUUUUUUUUAAGAAAGCAAACAAAAACCAAAAUAGAGAAAAACUGGAAAAAAAAAAUAAAGAAAACAAAACAAAUAAAUGGUUCCCUCCCCCACACCUAAAAUAUACAUUGUCCUCAAUGAAAG
Molecule: long non-coding RNA, 836 nt
Filed under: Lathyrus oleraceus (garden pea)
Lineage: Eukaryota; Viridiplantae; Streptophyta; Magnoliopsida; Fabales; Fabaceae
Description: Pisum sativum (pea) long non-coding RNA (PSAT_LNC022721)
Source: RNAcentral